This is a long non-coding RNA of Zea mays, 821 nucleotides long. RefSeq lists it as uncharacterized. NCBI's taxonomy places the organism in Eukaryota, Viridiplantae, Streptophyta, Magnoliopsida, Poales, Poaceae. The record is from RefSeq and is a predicted model, not a curated record. The transcript has 2 exons.
CCCUCAGGAGCAGACUCCGCCUGUCAGGGUUUAUAUAACCCGAGUCUCUUGUGCCCUUCUCCAUAACAGAGUCGAAAGCGUCGACCGGAGAACGUAGAGAGAGGAGAGAGAGAGAGAGAGAGAGAGAGAGAGAGAGAAACGAGUGCCGCCAUGGGAGGAACACCGAUACGCCAGCGUUGAUGCCUCGGGGGCAGGCCAGGGUGCAUCAACGAGGUGCGCUGACGGUGCUCGAUCGGGUCUCGCCGGGCAGAGCUGUGGGUCGGGCGUACGGGAAUUGCUCGCUGUCGCCUGUCGACCAACGUCGGCUCGGUUCCGCGCCGUGCCGCUGUUAGCACCGCCAACGCCCCGCAUGCCGGAUGAAGGCGGUUCGUCCGGCGGCGCUCGUGCGAGUAGAUUGGUGGCGGCGCGUGUGCGAGCAUAACAGCCGUGUUAUCAAAGGUGAUGAAUAGAAUAGCUGAGGUGAUCGAGCUGGUGGCCGCAGCAAAUCCCAGCCCCGGAACUCAUUGCUUAGCAUCGGAAGCAAAGCAAUCCAGGACACUGGGUCUAGCUCCUGAUGCUUUGACAGCAGUAGUGGAACACUGACCUACACUUGCUCCUAUCUUUGUUUGCUUGGUCGGCCCGAGAUAUAUGCUCUCUUUUUAGAGACGACUGCAAAAGUUAGGUCGUCGACACUACGACUGUAGAUGACCAAACGGAUUGCACGGUAUGACAUUAACACUGAUGUCAUAAAGCACAACACUAAUAGACACGAUUAGUAAUCGUAUCGUGUCGUGCCAGCACUAAUGUCUAGCCAUCGGCCCAGACACGCGACACUAUGUGCC